AUGCACGCUGACAGAAUGCUUCACCCCUGCCAGUCACCUUGAACUUCGGUUUGGGUGGCGGACGGGUGAGUAACGCGUAAAGAACUUGCCUCACAGAUAGGGACAACAUCUGGAAACGAAUGCUAAUACCUGAUAUUAUGAUUUUAGGGCAUCCUAGGAUUAUGAAAGCUAUAUGCGCUGUGAGAGAGCUUUGCGUCCCAUUAGCUAGUUGGAGAGGUAACGGCUCACCAAGGCGAUGAUGGGUAGCCGGCCUGAGAGGGUGAUCGGCCACAAGGGGACUGAGACACGGCCCUUACUCCUACGGGAGGCAGCAGUGGGGAAUAUUGGACAAUGGACCAAGAGUCUGAUCCAGCAAUUCUGUGUGCACGAUGAAGUUUUUCGGAAUGUAAAGUGCUUUCAGUUGGGAAGAAAAAAAUGACGGUACCAACAGAAGAAGUGACGGCUAAAUACGUG
Molecule: ribosomal RNA, 453 nt
Filed under: uncultured bacterium
Lineage: Bacteria
Description: partial 16S ribosomal RNA
Rfam family: Bacterial small subunit ribosomal RNA
Source: RNAcentral